RNAcentral lists this ribosomal RNA (253 nucleotides) under uncultured bacterium. Its description in RNAcentral is "partial 16S ribosomal RNA". It matches the Rfam family "Bacterial small subunit ribosomal RNA", at positions 524 to 776 of the family's 1533-position model. The record is from RNAcentral.
UACGUAGGGGGCAAGCGUUGUCCGGAAUCAUUGGGCGUAAAGAGCGUGUAGGCGGUCCGGUAAGUCGGCUGUGAAAGUCCAGGGCUCAACCCUGGGAUGCCGGUCGAUACUGCCGGACUAGAGUUCGGAAGAGGCGAGUGGAAUUCCCGGUGUAGCGGUGAAAUGCGCAGAUAUCGGGAGGAACACCUAUGGCGAAGGCGGGUAGCUGGGCCAACACUGACGCUGAUGCGCGAAAGCUAGGGGAGCAAACGGG